RNAcentral lists this ribosomal RNA (493 nucleotides) under uncultured bacterium. Its description in RNAcentral is "partial 16S ribosomal RNA". It matches the Rfam family "Bacterial small subunit ribosomal RNA", at positions 30 to 523 of the family's 1533-position model. The record is from RNAcentral.
UUUGAACGCUGGCGGCAUGCUUUACACAUGCAAGUCGAACGGUAACAGGUUAAGCUGACGAGUGGCGAACGGGUGAGUAAUGCAUCGGAACGUGCCCGAUCGUGGGGGAUAACACUUCGAAAGAAGUGCUAAUACCGCAUACGAUCUGAGGAUGAAAGCGGGGGACCGUAAGGCCUCGCGCGAUCGGAGCGGCCGAUGUCAGAUUAGGUAGUUGGUGGGGUAAAGGCUCACCAAGCCGACGAUCUGUAGCUGGUCUGAGAGGACGACCAGCCACACUGGGACUGAGACACGGCCCAGACUCCUACGGGAGUCAGCAGUGGGGAAUUUUGGACGAGGGGCGCAAGCCUGAUCCAGCAAUGCGGCGUGCAGGAAGAAGGCCUUCGGGUUGUAGACUGCUUUUGGACGGAGCGAAAAGGCUCUCUCUAAUACAAGGGGCUCAUGACGGUACCGUAAGAAUAAGCACCGGCUAACUACGUGCCAGCCGCCGCCGUAA